UUACGGUUAUAUCACGCUGAAACACCGUUUCCCAUAUGAUCAAAGAAGUUAAGUAAUGUCGAGCCUGGUCAGUACCUAGAUGGGGGACCGCUAAGGAAAACCAGAUACUGUA
This is a non-coding RNA of Acanthosepion pharaonis, 112 nucleotides long. The record is from the annotation of a GenBank genome assembly. Lineage: Eukaryota; Metazoa; Mollusca; Cephalopoda; Sepiida; Sepiidae.